This 758-nucleotide ribosomal RNA is filed under the name uncultured Prevotella sp. Its description in RNAcentral is "bacterial SSU rRNA". It matches the Rfam family "Bacterial small subunit ribosomal RNA", at positions 28 to 776 of the family's 1533-position model. The record is from RNAcentral. Lineage: Bacteria; Pseudomonadati; Bacteroidota; Bacteroidia; Bacteroidales; Prevotellaceae.
GAUGAACGCUAGCUACAGGCUUAACACAUGCAAGUCGAGGGGCAGCGGGUUGAAAGCUUGCUUUCAAUGCCGGCGACCGGCGCACGGGUGCGUAACGCGUAUCAAACCUGCCUCAUACUCGGGGAUAGCCUUGCGAAAGUAAGAUUAAUACCCGAUGUUAUUAGUUCAUCGCAUGGUGGGCUAAUCAAAGAUUUAUCGGUAUGAGAUGGUGAUGCGUCCGAUUAGGUAGUAGGCGGGGUAACGGCCCACCUAGCCUUCGAUCGGUAGGGGUUCUGAGAGGAAGGUCCCCCACACUGGAACUGAGACACGGUCCAGACUCCUACGGGAGGCAGCAGUGAGGAAUAUUGGUCAAUGGACGAAAGUCUGAACCAGCCAAGUAGCGUGCAGGAUGACGGCCCUCCGGGUUGUAAACUGCUUUUAGUUGGGAAUAAAAAAAGGGACGUGUCCCUUCUUGUAUGUACCUUCAGAAAAAGGACCGGCUAAUUCCGUGCCAGCAGCCGCGGUAAUACGGAAGGUCCAGGCGUUAUCCGGAUUUAUUGGGUUUAAAGGGAGCGUAGGCGGAUUGUUAAGUCAGCGGUUAAAGGGUGUGGCUCAACCAUACAUUGCCGUUGAAACUGGCGAUCUUGAGUGCAGACAGGGAUGCCGGAAUUCGUGGUGUAGCGGUGAAAUGCUUAGAUAUCACGAAGAACUCCGAUCGCGAAGGCAGGUGUCCGGGCUGCAACUGACGCUGAGGCUCGAAAGUGUGGGUAUCAAACAGG